This 253-nucleotide ribosomal RNA is filed under the name uncultured bacterium. RNAcentral's name for it is "partial 16S ribosomal RNA". It matches the Rfam family "Bacterial small subunit ribosomal RNA", at positions 524 to 776 of the family's 1533-position model. The record is from RNAcentral.
GACGUAGGGCGCGAGCGUUGUCCGGAUUUAUUGGGCGUAAAGAGCUCGUAGGCGGCUUGUUGCGUCGGCUGUGAAAACCCGCAGCUCAACUGUGGGCUUGCAGCCGAUACGGGCAGGCUUGAGUUCGGUAGGGGAGACUGGAAUUCCUGGUGUAGCGGUGAAAUGCGCAGAUAUCUGGAGGAACACCGGUGGCGAAGGCGGCAUCCUGGACCGGCAUUGACGCUGAGGCGCGAAAGCCAGGGGAGCAAACGGG